RNAcentral lists this transfer RNA (22 nucleotides) under Pristimantis w-nigrum (Zurucuchu robber frog). RNAcentral's name for it is "partial tRNA-Phe". Lineage: Eukaryota; Metazoa; Chordata; Amphibia; Anura; Strabomantidae. The record is from RNAcentral.
UUUUAUUUAAUCCUUUAAACAC